ACUCCUACGGGAGGCAGCAGUGGGGAAUAUUGCACAAUGGGCGCAAGCCUGAUGCAGCCAUGCCGCGUGUGUGAAGAAGGCCUUCGGGUUGUAAAGCACUUUCAGUAGGGAGGAAGGUAGUGUAGUUAACACCUGCAUUAUUUGACGUUACCUACAGAAGAAGCACCGGCUAACUCCGUGCCAGCAGCCGCGGUAAUACGGAGGGUGCGAGCGUUAAUCGGAAUUACUGGGCGUAAAGCGCAUGCAGGCGGCCUGUUAAGUCAGAUGUGAAAGCCCGGGGCUUAACCUCGGAAUUGCAUUUGAAACUGGCAGGCUAGAGUCUUGUAGAGGGGGGUAGAAUUUCAGGUGUAGCGGUGAAAUGCGUAGAGAUCUGAAGGAAUACCAGUGGCGAAGGCGGCCCCCUGGACAAAGACUGACGCUCAGAUGCGAAAGCGUGGGGAGCAAACAGGAUUAGAUACCCUGGUAGGAUAGCG
This 473-nucleotide ribosomal RNA is filed under the name uncultured bacterium. RNAcentral describes it as "bacterial SSU rRNA". It matches the Rfam family "Bacterial small subunit ribosomal RNA", at positions 335 to 799 of the family's 1533-position model. The record is from RNAcentral.